RNAcentral lists this ribosomal RNA (78 nucleotides) under Plantago asiatica. RNAcentral describes it as "partial 28S ribosomal RNA". It matches the Rfam family "Eukaryotic large subunit ribosomal RNA", at positions 1 to 71 of the family's 3401-position model. The record is from RNAcentral. Lineage: Eukaryota; Viridiplantae; Streptophyta; Magnoliopsida; Lamiales; Plantaginaceae.
UCGACCGCGACCCCAGGUCAGACGGGACUACCCGCUGAGUUUAAGCAUAUCAAUAAGCGGGGGAGAAGAAACUUACCA